RNAcentral lists this ribosomal RNA (255 nucleotides) under uncultured bacterium. RNAcentral describes it as "partial 16S ribosomal RNA". It matches the Rfam family "Bacterial small subunit ribosomal RNA", at positions 524 to 776 of the family's 1533-position model. The record is from RNAcentral.
UACGUAGGGUGCGAGCGUUGUCCGGAAUUAUUGGGCGUAAAGAGCUUGUAGGCGGUUUGUCGCGUCUGCUGUGAAAAUCCGGGGCUCAACCCCGGACUUGCAGUGGGUACGGGCAGACUAGAGUGUGGUAGGGGAGACUGGAAUUCCUGGUGUAGCGGUGAAAUGCGCAGAUAUCAGGAGGAACACCGAUGGCGAAGGCAGGUCUCUGGGCCACUACUGACGCUGAGAAGCGGAAAGCAUGGGGGAGCGAACAGG